RNAcentral lists this non-coding RNA (226 nucleotides) under Agrobacterium sp. Lineage: Bacteria; Pseudomonadati; Pseudomonadota; Alphaproteobacteria; Hyphomicrobiales; Rhizobiaceae. The record is from RNAcentral.
CGUCUAUCUGGUUGUGACGGUUUCGAGCGAGUGAUCGCAAGAAAUAAUAGGGAAUGCGGUGCGAGCCUUCGGGUUUUAUGCCGCAGCUGCCCCCGCAACUGUAAACGGAUUGUCCAACCCUUUGGCGCUUUCACAAGCGUCAUGCCACUGCGAAGCAAUAUCGCGGGAAGGUGGGUGAAGACGCAAAUCCGUGAGCCAGGAGACCUGCCGUCAUAAGUUCAUUCCA